Molecule: small nucleolar RNA, 106 nt
Organism: Gossypium raimondii (Peruvian cotton)
Lineage: Eukaryota; Viridiplantae; Streptophyta; Magnoliopsida; Malvales; Malvaceae
Rfam family: Plant small nucleolar RNA R71
About the family: R71 is a member of the C/D box family of snoRNAs containing the C (UGAUGA) and D (CUGA) box motifs. Multiple nearly identical copies of this snoRNA have been identified in Arabidopsis, and it is thought to function as a 2'-O-ribose methylation guide for 18S ribosomal RNA.
Source: Rfam
AUACCAUGAUGAGGGCAUUUUCGAAGUAGUUCCUUAAAUUGUUCCCAUGCCUCAUACAAGUCUCAUAAUCAUAUUGUUGAAACAUAGUAAUUUUAUUUCAUAGUUU